CUCCGGAUCUGCGGUGGGUACGGGCAGACUUGAGUGAUGUAGGGGAGACUGGAAUUCCUGGUGUAGCGGUGAAAUGCGCAGAUAUCAGGAGGAACACCGAUGGCGAAGGCAGGUCUCUGGGCAUUAACUGACGCUGAGGAGCGAAAGCAUGGGGAGCGAACAGGAUUAGAUACCCUGGUAGUCCAUGCCGUAAACGUUGGGCACUAGGUGUGGGGGACAUUCCACGUUUUCCGCGCCGUAGCUAACGCAUUAAGUGCCCCGCCUGGGGAGUACGGCCGCAAGGCUAAAACUCAAAGGAAUUGACGGGGGCCCGCACAAGCGGCGGAGCAUGCGGAUUAAUUCGAUGCAACGCGAAGAACCUUACCAAGGCUUGACAUGAACCGGAACGGCGCAGAGAUGUGUCGGCCACUUGUGGCCGGUUUACAGGUGGUGCAUGGUUGUCGUCAGCUCGUGUCGUGAGAUGUUGGGUUAAGUCCCGCAACGAGCGCAACCCUCGUUCCAUGUUGCCAGCGGGUUAUGCCGGGGACUCAUGGGAGACUGCCGGGGUCAACUCGGAGGAAGGUGGGGACGACGUCAAAUCAUCAUGCCCCUUAUGUCUUGGGCUUCACGCAUGCUACAAUGGCCGGUACAAAGGGUUGCGAUG
Molecule: ribosomal RNA, 643 nt
Filed under: Arthrobacter tecti
Lineage: Bacteria; Bacillati; Actinomycetota; Actinomycetes; Micrococcales; Micrococcaceae
Description: bacterial SSU rRNA
Rfam family: Bacterial small subunit ribosomal RNA
Source: RNAcentral